Molecule: ribosomal RNA, 301 nt
Filed under: uncultured bacterium
Lineage: Bacteria
Description: partial 16S ribosomal RNA
Rfam family: Bacterial small subunit ribosomal RNA
Source: RNAcentral
CAGUCGCCGCGGGAAUACAGAGGGUGCGAGCGUUAAUCGGAUUUACUGGGCGUAAAGCGUGCGUAGGCGGCUUCUUAAGUCGGAUGUGAAAUCCCCGGGCUCAACCUGGGAACUGCAUUCGAAACUGGCAGGCUAGAGUCUUGUAGAGGGGGGUAGAAUUCCAGGUGUAGCGGUGAAAUGCGUAGAGAUCUGGAGGAAUACCGGUGGCGAAGGCGGCCCCCUGGACAAAGACUGACGCUCAGGUGCGAAAGCGUGGGGAGCAAACAGGAUUAGAUACCCGCGUAGUCCCUGUCUCUUAUAC